RNAcentral lists this long non-coding RNA (1013 nucleotides) under Gallus gallus (chicken). RNAcentral describes it as "lncRNA (ENSGALG00000047258.2)". Lineage: Eukaryota; Metazoa; Chordata; Aves; Galliformes; Phasianidae. The record is from RNAcentral.
AAAUUACUGGCCAAAGCCAACACAUUUACAUUAGAAUUUGCUUGUUUCUUUAUGUUUUAUUCUAAACAAUGACCAUCCCCUGCUGCACUACCUAGCAGCAGGUUACCUGACUCACAGGAGAAGCUUCUAAAGUAAAACACAUACUUCUGAGUCCAUGCAAGCUCAGUUUGCUUUCACCAUCUGAGUGCCAGCUUACACUCAGCCUCAUCGCUGACAUUUAAGAAAGAUAAACAACUGAGCAGCUGGUCUUGGGUACUACUUCAAAACAUUGCUUUGUGGCUGAAGACAAGUGCUAAAAGGGUCAUUUUUUCCUGUCUGAUAACUGAUCUUAAUCUACCCAGAGUAUUGGUUCAGCUGCCAGCUGUGUUUUCAUGUUCUAGCAAACCAAAAUGAGUGGCUGUAACCUCUUCCAAGAAGAUGCCUUUUGCUCAGAGUUUGCAUAUCACAUUAGGGUCACUGACCUGACUGAUGCCUCCAGGAUGAACUCAUCUCCUGGCAACGUCCUUUAGAGAAGGGGGACCUGAAUGAGUAGAAGCGAGAACCAGGAGGACUCUCCCAUCCCCCUGAAUUUCAGUCACUCCUGUCUCUCUGUCUUAAUGAUACAAAGGAAUUCUAAUUAACAAUUGUGUAACAUUUUGACAGCAAAAUAAGGGAUCUUUGUAAAGCUCUCCUGUGGCUCUGAACUCAUUUUCAUGCCAAAAUAUCUGUCUUUCAGAAAAGAAAGAUGCCAAGGAGCUUCAGCUCUGUUGUCUUGUCAGAUACUUUGCUCCUGCUUCGUGAGGGUGAUUUCAUAAGAAGUUUCAUCUUUGUUAUUUAUUUAUUUAUUUUACCUUAAUGAAGAUGAUUGUAUGACAAAGGGGAGGAAGAUAGUGGUGUGUGGGUAGAAAGGAAAAUGUAGGAAAUUGAGAAAAUGUCAGCUCUCUCAAUUUUUCACAUACACACAGAAAUUUUGCACUUCACAAACACUCCAUAAUUAUGGAGAGAUUUUGUAACAUAAAAAUAAACCCUUUAAU